UCUAGCAGCCAUAUCACCCUGCAACUCACAACUGGCAACCCACUGAAGCCAAGCAGGUGUGAGCCUGGUCAGUACCUGGAUGGGAGACCUCCUGGGAAAAACUAAGGUUGCUGCUGGGA
Ribosomal RNA from Lepisosteus oculatus (spotted gar), 119 nucleotides. The record is from Ensembl. Lineage: Eukaryota; Metazoa; Chordata; Actinopteri; Semionotiformes; Lepisosteidae.